ACGAACGCUGGCGGCGCGCUUCAGACAUGCAAGUCGAACGGUGCAGCAAUGCAUAGUGGCAAACGGGUGCGUAACACGUGGGAAUCUACCUCUUGGUGUGGGAUAACACAGGGAAACUUGUGCUAAUACCACAUAAUGUCUUUGGACCAAAGAUUUAUCGCCAAGAGAGGAGCCCGCGGCAGAUUAGCUAGUUGGUGAGGUAAUGGCUCACCAAGGCAACGAUCUGUAGCUGGUCUGAGAGGAUGAUCAGCCACACUGGGACUGAGACACGGCCCAGACUCCUACGGGAGGCAGCAGUCGGGAAUAUUGGACAAUGGGGGAAACCCUGAUCCAGCGACGCCGCGUGUGUGAUGAAGGCCUUCGGGUUGUAAAGCACUUUUAGCGGAGAAGAUAAUGACGGUAUCCGCAGAAAAAGCCCCGGCUAACUUCGU
RNAcentral lists this ribosomal RNA (431 nucleotides) under uncultured bacterium. RNAcentral's name for it is "bacterial SSU rRNA". It matches the Rfam family "Bacterial small subunit ribosomal RNA", at positions 29 to 506 of the family's 1533-position model. The record is from RNAcentral.